Molecule: ribosomal RNA, 230 nt
Filed under: uncultured microorganism
Description: partial 16S ribosomal RNA
Rfam family: Bacterial small subunit ribosomal RNA
Source: RNAcentral
UACAGAGGGUGCGAGCGUUAAUCGGAUUUACUGGGCGUAAAGCGUGCGUAGGCGGCUUUUUAAGUCGGAUGUGAAAUCCCCGAGCUUAACUUGGGAAUUGCAUUCGAUACUGGGAAGCUAGAGUAUGGGAGAGGAUGGUAGAAUUCCAGGUGUAGCGGUGAAAUGCGUAGAGAUCUGGAGGAAUACCGAUGGCGAAGGCAGCCAUCUGGCCUAAUACUGACGCUGAGGUA